GAAAUGCGAUACGUAAUGUGAAUUGCAGAAUUCAGUGAAUCAUCGAGUCUUUGAACGCACAUUGCGCCCCCUGGUAUUCCGGGGGGCAUGCCUGUCCGAGCGUCAUUGCUGCCCUCAAGCACGGCUUGUGUGUUGGGCCCCCGUCCCCCCUGCUUUCUAGGGGGGGACGGGCCCGAAAGGCAGCGGCGGCACCGUGUCCGGUCCUCGAGCGUAUGGGAAGCAACUUUUUUUUGUCACCCGCUCCUGUAGGUCCGGCCGGCGGCCUGCCCCCAACCCUCAAUCAAUCUUUUAACCAGGUUGACCUCGGAUCAGGUAGGGGUACCCGCUGAACUUAA
This 335-nucleotide unclassified non-coding RNA is filed under the name uncultured Eurotiales. RNAcentral describes it as "sequence contains ITS1". The stretch from base 1 to 105 matches the Rfam family "5.8S ribosomal RNA", at positions 50 to 154 of the family's 154-position model. The record is from RNAcentral. Lineage: Eukaryota; Fungi; Ascomycota; Eurotiomycetes; Eurotiales.